GUCAGGGAAUAAACCCCCCGUACGUUUGCGGGGCUGAAGGUACCUGAAGAAUAAGCAUCGGCUAACUCCGUGCCAGCAGCCGCGGUAAUACGGAGGAUGCAAGCGUUAUCCGGAUUCAUUGGGUUUAAAGGGUGCGCAGGCGGAUUGGUAAGUCAGGGGUGAAAUCCCACAGCUCAACUGUGGAACUGCCUUUGAUACUGUCAGUCUUGAGUAUAGUUGAAGUGGGCGGAAUGUGUCAUGUAGCGGUGAAAUGCUUAGAUAUGACACAGAACACCGAUCGCGAAGGCAGCUCGCUAAACUAUAACUGACGCUCAUGCACGAAAGCGUGGGGAUCAAACAGGAUUAGAUACGCUGGUAGUCCACGCCGUAAACGAUGAUUACUCGAUGUUGGCGAUACACAGUCAGCGUCUGAGCGAAAGCAAUAAGUAAUCCACCUGGGGAGUACGAUCGCAAGAUUGAAACUCAAAGGAAUUGACGGGGGCCCGCACAAGCGGAGGAGCAUGUGGUUUAAUUCGAUGAUACGCGAGGAACCUUACCUGGGCUAGAACGUAGAGUGACUGUGGGUGAAAGCCUACUUCCCUUCGGGGCAGUCUACGAGGUGCUGCAUGGUUGUCGUCAACUCGUGCCGUGAGGUGUCGGGUUAAGUCCCAUAACGAGCGCAACCCCUAUCUUUAGUUGCCAACAGGUCAAGCUGGGGACUCUAAAGAAACUGCCUACGCAAGUAGUGAGGAAGGUGGGGAUGACGUCAAAUCAGCACGGCCCUUACGUCCAGGGCUACACACGUGCUACAAUGGCCGAUACAGAGGGCAGCUACCAGGUGACUGGAUGCAAAUCUCCAAAGUCGGUCUCAGUUCGGAUCGGAGUCUGCAACCCGACUCCGUGAAGUUGGAUUCGCUAGUAAUCGCGCAUCAGCCAUGGCGCGGUGAAUACGUUCCCGGGCCUUGCACACACCGCCCGU
RNAcentral lists this ribosomal RNA (958 nucleotides) under uncultured bacterium. Its description in RNAcentral is "bacterial SSU rRNA". It matches the Rfam family "Bacterial small subunit ribosomal RNA", at positions 438 to 1397 of the family's 1533-position model. The record is from RNAcentral.